UACGGAGGAUGCAAGCGUUAUCCGGAAUGAUUGGGCGUAAAGCGUCCGCAGGUGGCUGUGUAAGUCUGCUGUUAAAGAGUCUAGCUCAACUAGAUACAAGCAGUGGAAACUACACGGCUAGAGUACGUUCGGGGCAGAGGGAAUUCCUGGUGUAGCGGUGAAAUGCGUAGAGAUCAGGAAGAACACCGGUGGCGAAGGCGCUCUACUGGGCCACAACUGACGCUGAGGGACGAAAGCUAGGGGAGCGAAAGGG
RNAcentral lists this ribosomal RNA (253 nucleotides) under uncultured bacterium. RNAcentral's name for it is "partial 16S ribosomal RNA". It matches the Rfam family "Bacterial small subunit ribosomal RNA", at positions 524 to 776 of the family's 1533-position model. The record is from RNAcentral.